UCCCAUGUGGCUCAGUUGGUAGAGCAUGGUGUUUGCUAUGCCAGGGUUGUGGGUUCAAUUCCCAUGGGGGAC
Salmo salar (Atlantic salmon) is the source of this 72-nucleotide non-coding RNA. NCBI's taxonomy places the organism in Eukaryota, Metazoa, Chordata, Actinopteri, Salmoniformes, Salmonidae. The record is from Rfam.